AAAAGCUGAGAAAAAGUUCAUUGAUAUAGCAGCUGCUAAAGAAGUCCUCUCUGAUCCAGAAAUGAGAAAGAAGUUUGACGACGGAGAAGAUCCUUUGGAUGCAGAGAGCCAGCAAGGAGGCGGCGGCAACCCUUUCCACAGAAGCUGGAACUCAUGGCAAGGGUUCAAUCCCUUCAGCUCAGGCGGACCAUUUAGAUUUAAAUUCCACUUCAAUUAAACCAACUGUUUUUCUGCUCUUCUUAAUUUUUUUAAAGAUUAAAAACAAAGAAAUCUUGUUCCGGGACCCUAAUGAAAAAAAAUUUCAAAUCUUUUCAGUUUGUCCAUGACCAAAGAGUUGCUUUAAUAGGAAAAAAUCUGUUCUUAUCCCUGUCAGAUUUAUGGUUAAUGGGUUUGCAACGGCAAGGAGGCAAGGAAUGGUUCUAUUUCUGACAGAGCAGCCUGCAUCUGCUUUAUGCUGUCUGGAGGGAAGUGGUCUGAGGCAGGCUCACCCGUGGAAGUGCUCACGUAUUCUGUAUUAUUUUUCUACACUGGAGCUGAGAUUCUUCUCUUCACAGCCUUGCAGAGUAAGUCAGUGCCUACAAGUGUAAGAAGGAGCUGUAAUCUUCAUGAGGAUGGUUAUACUUCAGUAUUCUUAAAGAGAACAUGAACAUUUUUGAGCUGUAUGUUCUUAGGGACAACUGUGCUUCGAUGUGGUCAGUCUCGUCACUUGUGAGUAGCUGUGAAAUCUUUAGUGUGCAUGUGUUUGCACCUCUGUGGUCUGUCAACGUGGCUGUCACUGAAGGAGCAAGAGACCAUCUUUUAGGAACCCUGCCACCAAAUAAUAAUAUAUCCAGGCUUAGACUUUGGAUUAAUGUUAAAUGUACAUUUUUUUGGUUCAGUACCUGAAGAAGAAUACUGAAACUUGAAUCUAUAAAUUCCUAUGGACCCUUUUAAUAUUAAACACAACAAAUUAAAAGUUGUUAUAGGUAAAAUAAGUUCAGAUAAAAUAGUGGUGGUAUUUAAAAUAAUAUUGCUGAAGUGCAGAUUGAAAUACUUUUUAAACAACUGAAGUUCUGAGUUUUUAUAGGGAAUUUCAUGUAACAAGACUGGUUUAGAAACGUAAAGUUGCGCAGUCAACAUAAAUAAAUACAGAAUGCCAUGUUCUCCACUUCUAAGUAAAGACAGUGGGCAGCUUCUGUUUCUCCUUCUAUCAAGGCUUCACCCUAUCUUAAAGGUCUGUGGUGCCUCCCACGUGGGACCUGUCUGCUGGUAUGUGUUAAACAGCAGACCGGCCCUUCUACCAGAUCUUGAUGCCUCUGAUUUUCUCCUGCCUACAAGAAAAUACAGGCAAGGUUAGUCAGGUCUGGCUAUAUUUCCACUGUUGUUUCAUUUAAUAAGAUGGCAUCUCCUCUUGAGAUAUGUUCUUCUUACCUUUUAAGAAGAUACUAUUUAAGAAGUGAACUAUUCAGUCUUUGUAUACUGAAUGCUUUUUCCCUAAAAAAUGUUAAUCAAGAAUAUUGAAUAUUUAUGGCACUCUUGAUGCUGCAUUUGAAAGCUGAAGGAAUUACUUUAGAUAGAUAGGAAUUGCUACCUUUAUUCUGGAAAGGUUUUGUUUCUGCCUCAAAGCAUUUUGAAGUGUUUUAACCAUUAAAGGGUCUAAUUUUUUUUUCUUAAUGAAAUCAAGCAUUUUAAUUCACUGUGGGAGGCAUCCUGACCACGGACAUCCAUAACAGCAAAGCACAAAUCGUUUUCGUCUGUAGUCAUAUCCUGAAACAUAGGUGGACAAAUUUUUAACUGAGAGACAAAAAUCACAUAGUUGAAUUGAGCAGAACACUUAAGUGCUUUCUGCAUCUAUUUAGGAGUCUAUUUCUUACCAAUAAACUUGACAACGCAUUUGGAAAACUAGUGAACACCUUACAGCUUUCAUUUUGCUUUAAUGUUUCAAUUCAAGCCGGUGUAAAAAUAAUUUCCAAGGCAUUUCUGUUUAUUCUUUAGUAAUCUCACUACUGGCUAUGUCAGCAAUAUCUUUUUCAAUCUGGUUCCUUUUGUAUAUGAUGUCACUGUGACCUCUUUGAAAUAUAGUGAUGGCUUUUACCUACUUUGAAAAGAAUUUUCACAUAGAGUCAG
RNAcentral lists this long non-coding RNA (2106 nucleotides) under Homo sapiens (human). RNAcentral's name for it is "long non-coding RNA NONHSAT166138.1". The record is from RNAcentral. Lineage: Eukaryota; Metazoa; Chordata; Mammalia; Primates; Hominidae.